RNAcentral lists this ribosomal RNA (433 nucleotides) under uncultured bacterium. RNAcentral's name for it is "partial 16S ribosomal RNA". It matches the Rfam family "Bacterial small subunit ribosomal RNA", at positions 29 to 507 of the family's 1533-position model. The record is from RNAcentral.
AACGAACGCUGGCGGCAUGCCUAACACAUGCAAGUCGAACGAGACCUUCGGGUCUAGUGGCGCACGGGUGCGUAACGCGUGGGAACCUGCCCUUAGGUUCGGAAUAACUCCCCGAAAGGGGUGCUAAUACUGGAUAAUGUCUUCGGACCAAAGAUUUAUCGCCUUUGGAUGGGCCCGCGUUGGAUUCGCUAGUUGGUAGGGUAAAAGCCUACCAAGGCGACGAUCCAUAGCUGGUCUGAGAGGAUGAUCAGCCACACUGGGACUGAGACACGGCCCAGACUCCUACGGGAGGCAGCAGUGGGGAAUAUUGGACAAUGGGCGAAAGCCUGAUCCAGCAAUGCCGCGUGAGUGAUGAAGGCCUUAGGGUUGUAAAGCUCUUUUACCCGGGAUGAUAAUGACAGUACCGGGAGAAUAAGCUCCGGCUAACUACGUG